ACGGGGGGGCGUGCUUACCAUGCAAGUCGAACGGGGUGCCUUUGAAAGAGGAUUCGUCCAAUUGAGAAGGUUACCUAGUGGCGGACGGGUGAGUAACGCGUGAGUAACCUGCCUUGGAGUGGGGAAUAACACAUCGAAAGAUGUGCUAAUACCGUAUAAUGCAGUUGGGCCGCAUGGCUCUGACUGCCAAAGAUUUAUCGCUCUGAGAUGGACUCGCGUCUGAUUAGCUGGUUGGCGGGGUAACGGCCCACCAAGGCGACGAUCAGUAGCCGGACUGAGAGGUUGACCGGCCACAUUGGGACUGAGACACGGCCCAGACUCCUACGGGAGGCAGCAGUGGGGAAUAUUGGGCAAUGGGCGCAAGCCUGACCCAGCAACGCCGCGUGAAGGAAGAAGGCUUUCGGGUUGUAAACUUCUUUUAUCAGGGACGAAGCAAGUGACGGUACCUGAUGAAUAAGCCACGGCUAACUACGUGCCAGCAGCCGCGGUAAUACGUAGGUGGCAAGCGUUAUCCGGAUUUACUGGGUGUAAAGGGCGUGUAGGCGGGAGUGCAAGUCAGAUGUGAAAACUAUGGGCUCAACCCAUAGCCUGCAUUUGAAACUGUACUUCUUGAGUGCUGGAGAGGCAAUCGGAAUUCAGGCUUACACAUUGCUUUUUUGGUCCCCGGGGGGCGGGCCACCAUGCGCAGAAAGCGGUUGUGGCAGC
This 705-nucleotide ribosomal RNA is filed under the name uncultured bacterium. Its description in RNAcentral is "bacterial SSU rRNA". It matches the Rfam family "Bacterial small subunit ribosomal RNA", at positions 33 to 733 of the family's 1533-position model. The record is from RNAcentral.